This 131-nucleotide small RNA is filed under the name Escherichia coli. RNAcentral describes it as "RtT sRNA". It matches the Rfam family "RtT RNA". Rfam says of the family: This family represents a bacterial cis-regulatory element known as RtT RNA. The exact function of RtT is unknown although it is thought that it may be involved in changing the cellular response in relation to amino acid starvation. The record is from RNAcentral. Lineage: Bacteria; Pseudomonadati; Pseudomonadota; Gammaproteobacteria; Enterobacterales; Enterobacteriaceae.
AUUCUGCCCAAGCGGGGAAGGAUGAGAAGCUUCGACUAAGGUUCGACUCGAGCGUCAGCGAGAGAGCGUUGCCGUAGGCAACGACCCGAAGGGCGAAGCGCGCAGCGCUAGUAAUCCUUCCCCCACCACCA